Daphnia magna is the source of this 1263-nucleotide long non-coding RNA. RefSeq lists it as uncharacterized. The record is from RefSeq and is a predicted model, not a curated record. The transcript has 6 exons. NCBI's taxonomy places the organism in Eukaryota, Metazoa, Arthropoda, Branchiopoda, Diplostraca, Daphniidae.
CGCUGCUGCUCCUUUAUACUUGUUAUGUGAUCAAGCUCUAUGUGACUAGUGAAAACCGUAUCCCAAUAUUUGUUAAUUAUAUUACAUUCGUAUUUAAAGUUCGAUCAAAUCAAAUGGUAAUUUUGUUAUGCCUGCUGCCAAAUCCAAAAACUCUUAGCAACUUGUCACUUAGAGAUUCCAUCAUGCUUUUCUAUUGCUCAUUAGGAGUAGCUCGUUAAACUAAAAUCGAAAAGGAUGCUGACUUGCAAUCUUCUUGUCAUUUCCACUGAGCCGGUCAAGUGGCAUGAUUUAGUUUUGAGGGUUGAGCUCGUAAACUGAAAGUGCAAAGGAUGCUGGCUCUGAAGGAAGAUCAUUCUUGACCCACUCAUCUUGUAUCAGCAGUCUUCUUUUAUUUCUACUCUGAUGGCCAACACACAUAGAUGUGAACCUCAGAACUACUACUCCUUGGACUGCCAACCCAACGUGUCUAAAAAAAAUUGCCGGCCCUACAAUUUUGACAACAGGCGUAUGUAAAAAAAAGCCCCUUCUUCACCUCGCCCGUCAUCGCUUUGCCCGUCACCGAAUCGCCCGUCAUCGCUUUGCCCGUCAUCGCUUUGCCCGUCGUCGAAUCGCCCGUCAUCGCUUUGCCCGUCGCCGAAUCGCCCGUCAUCGCUUUGCCCGUCGCCGAAUCGCCCGUCAUCACUCUGCCCGUCGCCCCAUCUUCCCCUCGCCCGGUCACCCCGUCGUCGCAUCGUGGUCGCCCGGUCGCCCCGUCUUCGCCUCGUGGUCGCCCCGUCAUCGUGGUAUCAUUGUUUUAUGUAAUGUGUGUGUGUGUUAAGUGUAGUGCUAAUUAACCCGUUGGCUGCCACCCACUUUGAUCCCCCUUUUUUUAGCUUGUUAGGGUCCGGCAGCGCUGUUCUGCCCAAUGGUCUAUAUGCCAUGGGUGGGACAGUUGCACAAGCCGUGUGGCUCAAAGUCGAUCGUCGAGGCAAUGCACCAUUAGGAACUCCCCCCUUGUCGAUGCGGUGAUGGUUGCCUGGGGUGUGCAUUCCCGUAAUGGCUUCCAUCAUCGUGUCAGCCCGGACUUGUCUUCGGACAAGUCCCCCUUGGUCGCGAUCUUUCUGAUGGCGAUGUAGCUAGCGUAGUAUGUAGUGGCGUGGCAGCCAACGGGUUAGUUGUAUUUGUGUAUGUAUGUAUUGUAUAUUAUGUUGUAUUGUAUUAUGCUGUAAACCAAGUGGUGGAAUUGUGGGUGGAUGGAGGGACAAUAAAAGCUUUUUACAUCUA